This is a non-coding RNA of Prunus avium (sweet cherry), 631 nucleotides long. NCBI's taxonomy places the organism in Eukaryota, Viridiplantae, Streptophyta, Magnoliopsida, Rosales, Rosaceae. The record is from RefSeq and is a predicted model, not a curated record.
CCAAAACCCAAAAUCACAAGCCUUAGGUUUCCACUGUUGCUUCAAGUCUGAAAUUGGAAAUACAAUCAAAGAGGAAAAAGUUCUGAAAUUUGAAAUACAACCCCCCUAGGUUUAUCUUGAUCUCUCUCUCCUCUCUUCUUCAUCUCUGCAACGCCAGCUUCUAACUCAUCCAUCUCUGCAACGCCAGCGCUUCACCAAACCCAAAAUGAAAUCAAACACACCGAGUCUCUUUCCCCACUAGCUCCCUCUUCUCUCUUGCUAUUCCAUUCUUGUCUCCUGCACGCUUGCUCGAUGAUUCCUCUCUCCAUCGGCACUAUCGCUCUUCCUCAUCACUAGCCGGGCUCGAUCUUCUCUGGAAUCUUCGUCGCCACUGUGACAAUCUAACAGAGCACACAAACUUGCCAUGAAACACAUUAUUGAAUGAAGCUUCUAUUUGGACCAAGAAUUUGCAGACAAGGUAUUCUUGUCUAACAGCGUAUGAUUUGGAGGGGUGGUCCAGAGUCGUAAAUCUAAUGGCUAUAGUGACGUUUUUUUUUAUCGUACUAGAUAGCUUGGUUUAUUUCUUUGAAUGUUUGUAUCAAAAUAUUCUACUUUAAUGGAUAUUAAAUUUCAGCUUGACAAUUUUUUAAUA